RNAcentral lists this ribosomal RNA (868 nucleotides) under uncultured rumen bacterium. RNAcentral's name for it is "bacterial SSU rRNA". It matches the Rfam family "Bacterial small subunit ribosomal RNA", at positions 9 to 873 of the family's 1533-position model. The record is from RNAcentral.
AGAGUUUGAUCCUGGCUCAGGAUGAACGCUAGCGGCAGGCUUAACACAUGCAAGUCGAGGGGCAGCGGGUGUAGCAAUACAUGCCGGCGACCGGCGAAAGGGUGAGUAACGCGUGAGCAACAUGCCCGAUACUGGGGGAUAGUCGAUGGAAACGUCGCGUAAUACCCCGUAACACACGGGACCGCAUGGUUCUUUGUUGAAAGAUUGAUUGGUAUCGGAUUGGCUCGCGUGCCAUUAGCUAGAUGGCGGGGUAACGGCCCACCAUGGCGACGAUGGCUAGGGGUUCUGAGAGGAAGGUCCCCCACAUUGGAACUGAGACACGGUCCAGACUCCUACGGGAGGCAGCAGUGAGGAAUAUUGGACAAUGGCCGGAAGGCUGAUCCAGCCAUGCCGCGUGCGGGAAGACGGCCCUAUGGGUUGUAAACCGCUUUUGCGGGGGAGCAAUAAGUUGUACGUGUACAACGAUGAGAGUACCCUGCGAAUAAGCAUCGGCUAACUCCGUGCCAGCAGCCGCGGUAAUACGGAGGAUGCAAGCGUUAUCCGGAUUUAUUGGGUUUAAAGGGUGCGCAGGCGGCUUGUUAAGCGGGAGGUGAAAUGCCGGCGCUCAACGUCGGAAGUGCCUCCCGAACUGGUGAGCUUGAAUGACUCUGCCGUGGGAGGAAUGUGUAGUGUAGCGGUGAAAUGCUUAGAGAUUACACAGAACACCGAUUGCGAAGGCAUCUCACGAAGGGUUGAUUGACGCUGAGGCACGAAAGCGUGGGGAUCAAACAGGAUUAGAUACCCUGGUAGUCCACGCAGUAAACGAUGAUGGCUAACCGCUGGGCUGUUCAGUUCAGUGGCCAAGCGAAAGCGAUAAGCCAUCCACCUG